UUAAAGGGUGCGCAGGCGGACUCGCAAGUGUCUUGUGAAAUCCCACCGCUCAACGGUGGAAUCGCUGGGCAAACUGCGGGUCUUGAGCCCGGCAGAGGCCGUCGGAACUCUAGGUGGAGCGGUGAAAUGCGUAGAUAUCUAGAGGAACGCCAAAGGUGAAGACAGACGGCUGGGCCGGCGCUGACGCUCAGGCACGAAAGCGUGGGGAGCGAACGGGAUUAGAUACCCCGGUAGUCCACGCCGUAAACGAUGUGCACUAGAUCCGGGAGGUUUUGACGCCAUCCGGGUCGAAGCAAAAGUGAUAAGUGCACCGCCUGGGGAGUACGGUCGCAAGGCUAAAACUCAAAGGAAUUGACGGGGGCUCACACAAGCGGUGGAGCAUGUGGCUUAGUUCGAAGCAACGCGAAGAACCUUAUCCAAAGCUUGACAUGCACGGAUUAGCGGCCCGAAAGGGUCGUGACGCUCUUUGAGUGGAACGUGCACAGGUGCUGCAUGGCUGUCGUCAGCUCGUGCUGUGAAGUGUCGGGUUAAGUCCCUUAACGAGCGAAACCCCUGCCGUUAGUUGCUAACAGGUGAUGCUGAGGACUCUAACGGGACUGCCGGUGUCAAACCGGAGGAAGGUGGGGAUGACGUCAAGUCCUCAUGGCCUUUAUGCCUUGGGCUGCACACGUGCUACAAUGGCGACUACAGAGCGAAGCAAUGCCGCAAGGUGGAGCAAAUCGCAAAAAGGUCGCCCCAGUUCGGAUUGCGGUCUGCAACUCGACCGCAUGA
RNAcentral lists this ribosomal RNA (771 nucleotides) under uncultured Planctomycetota bacterium. RNAcentral describes it as "bacterial SSU rRNA". It matches the Rfam family "Bacterial small subunit ribosomal RNA", at positions 560 to 1323 of the family's 1533-position model. The record is from RNAcentral. Lineage: Bacteria; Pseudomonadati; Planctomycetota.